AACGCACGAGACCUGCGGACCUGCGGAAGGAUCAUUAACACGUAUCCAAACGUAUCAACCACUCACUACUGCUUUACUGCUAGUAGUACGAACUUUCAACCCGUGCCUCGGUUUGUGUUUGAUUUGCAGGGCUUAGGUCCUGUAAAGAAGCAGCCCUCUGACUGGGAACGGUCUCGGUGGCUGGAUUCGAGACAGGUUAGUUAUGCUCACCUGUUUUCUGAUCGCACAGCUGAGGUGCCU
This 240-nucleotide unclassified non-coding RNA is filed under the name soil metagenome. RNAcentral describes it as "partial contains 5.8S ribosomal RNA, internal transcribed spacer 2, and large subunit ribosomal RNA". The record is from RNAcentral.